CACGGGGGGAGCAAGCGUUGUUCGGAAUCACUGGGCGUAAAGGGCGUGUAGGCGGUCAGGUAAGUGGGAUGUGAAAUCCCUCGGCUCACCCGAGGACCUGCAUCCCAAACUGCUUGGCUUGAGUAUGGGAGAGGAUGAGGGAAUUCCUGGUGUAGCGGUGAAAUGCGUAGAUAUCAGGAGGAACACCGGUGGCGAAAGCGCUCAUCUGGCCCAAUACUGACGCUGAGGCGCGAAAGCUAGGGGAGCAAACGGGAUUAGAUACCCCGGUAGUCCUAGCCGUAAACGGUGAUCACUAGGUGUUGGAGGCAUCGACCCCUCCAGUGCCGCAGCUAACGCAUUAAGUGAUCCGCCUGGGGAGUACGGCCGCAAGGUUG
Molecule: ribosomal RNA, 374 nt
Filed under: uncultured prokaryote
Description: bacterial SSU rRNA
Rfam family: Bacterial small subunit ribosomal RNA
Source: RNAcentral